UACGGAGGGUGCAAGCGUUAAUCGGAAUUACUGGGCGUAAAGCGCGCGUAGGCGGUUAUUUAAGUCAGAUGUGAAAGCCCGGGCUCAACCUGGGAAUUGCAUUUGAUACUGGAUGGCUAGAGUGUGGUAGAGGUGAGUGGAAUUUCAGGUGUAGCGGUGAAAUGCGUAGAGAUCUGAAGGAACCAUCAGUGGCGAAGGCGACUCACUGGGCCAUUACUGACGCUGAGGUGCGAAAGCGUGGUAGCAAACAGG
Molecule: ribosomal RNA, 252 nt
Filed under: uncultured bacterium
Lineage: Bacteria
Description: partial 16S ribosomal RNA
Rfam family: Bacterial small subunit ribosomal RNA
Source: RNAcentral